AUGAACGCUGGCGGCGUGCUUAACACAUGCAAGUCGAACGAUUAAAGCUCACUUCGGUGAGUGCAUAGAAUGGCGAACGGGUGAGUAACACGUGGGAAACCUGCCCCUUUCUUCGGGAUAACUUCGGGAAACCGUUGCUAAUACCGGAUACUCCGGGAUGGUCGCAUGGCCGACCCGGGAAAGCUUUAUGUGGAAAGGGAUGGUCCCGCGGCCCAUUAGCUUGUUGGUGGGGUAAUGGCCUACCAAGGCAAUGAUGGGUAGCCG
RNAcentral lists this ribosomal RNA (264 nucleotides) under uncultured bacterium. RNAcentral describes it as "partial 16S ribosomal RNA". It matches the Rfam family "Bacterial small subunit ribosomal RNA", at positions 29 to 289 of the family's 1533-position model. The record is from RNAcentral.